CUGCGGGACCUGUGUUGACCCUCCCAGUCUUCCAGCAGCUGUCCCACACUGCCCCAUUCACUGUUACACAGACUGUGCUAGUCAGAUUUUUGAACGCUGCUCAAGGCUCACCAACCAGAAACCACCCUUCUGCCUUUACAACCUCCCUUGUGUUUUUGAAAUGCCUUUUCCUGAUUGCCCACCUUGACAAGCAUACCUAACAGCCAGGGGUGAAAGUAACAAAACUCUUACCUGGACAAGGGCCUGGCUCUGGGCCCCUGGAAGGGGCAGAGCUGAGGGGUCAGCCUCCGUCAGCUAGCCCUACUGUGCUGCCUGUGGCUCCUGCCACUGCUGCGGGAGCCCUAGGUCCUUUUAAAUCACCAGGCCCCAGAGUAGCUGCCUGUUUUGUCCCCUCCUCUCAGCAGCCCUCCCAGGAGUGUCCUUAAAACACAGCUGCAUCAGCGCUUUAACAUUGGCUAUGUACAGGCCUGUACCAGCAGCCACUUCUUACUGGCACGCUGUAUUGGCCCACUUUCACCUCUGCUAGCAGCUCACCUUUGUUGUGUGCAACCACCCAGCUGACCAUGGCAGCGCCGUGCACUAGUUAUGCUCCUGCCUGAAUCAGACAGGAACUAGUGGUUCUGUGCAUUCACAGCUACAGGCCACCGGUAGAAACUUUAACAUUUUACACAUGAGCAGAUUACACAGGCAAAGGGGUAUGACAGGAAUCAGGAGAAGUGCAGUGUGAAAACAAAGGCCGUACAUCAGGGAAACCACAAGGUGAGGGAGCACAACAGUAGAUCUGGGUGCUUCACCACAGACUUCCUGUUUCUGCAAGGAACUACAUGCCAUGCUUUGCAGAGACCCCCACCAGCAUGCUCCAGACCACUGGAUACCUGAAGGACCCUGAAACAAAGACCUCUGCCUUGAACAGCAGGAAGGAGGGAGAUGUGGUGAAGGAUUCCAGUCAUGGAAGCCAGGAGCUAUUUGAGACUGCCACAGUCUAUCCAGUGUCACCAGUCAAAUGUGGAUGAGCCUGAUGAAGGGGAAGGGAACUUGGCAAACUGCAAAGAAAUCUACACAUUCCCCAUUGUUGCAGUACUUCCUGUGGGUCUGUAAAUACAGGAGAAUCAUGCAUCCUGUAUUUGCAAUAUUCAUGAGAACAGUGCUGAACUCUGCAGGCUCCAUGCUUCUGUCAGAGAUGGGAGACAAUGAAAAGUGCUAUGGAGAGGUAUUAAUGGGCCACUCAGCAGUUCUGGCUGGGGGCCCUACCACUACCCCAUCCCUGUCCAUGGACACUUGCAAGAGGGGAGUCUCAUGCAACGGGGAUGAGGAUUUUGGGGAUGAGGAAGAUGAGGAGGAGAAUAGUGCACAGCAAGCAAGUGGAGAAACCAUUCUCCCCGAUUGCCAGUAACUGUUUAUCACCCUGGAGCCAAUACCCUCCCAACCCUCCCAAAGUGGGCUCACGGACCAUGAAGCUGGAGAAGGCACCUCUGCUGCAACUGUUUCAAUGCUCCCCCUAUCAUCUCCAUCCCAGAGGCUAGCACAGAUAAGAAGGUGAAAAAAAACGCACUCAUGAUGAAAUGUUCUCUGAGCUCAUGCAGUCCUCCUGCACUGAAACUGCUCAGCAGAAUGCUUGGAGGCAAACAAUGUCAGAGUCUAGGAAAGCAGAAAAUAAACGCGAAGGCAGGAGGGAUGAAUGAGAUGAGAGGUGGCAGGAGCAGGAAGACAGGUGGCAGGAGCAGGAAGAGAGAUGGCAGCAGUGCGAUGAGUGAAGACUGGAUGCAAUGCUGAGGUUACUGGGGGAUCAGACUAAUAUGCUCUGGCCUCUGGUGGAACUGCAGGAAAGGCAGCAGGAGCACAGACCGCUGCUGCUGCCCACCCUUUUCCCCAAAUUCCAUAGCCUCACCCAGAUGCCCAAGAACCCGGGGCAGGGAGGCCCUCCAGGCACACAACCACUCCACCCCAGAGGACUGCCCAAGCAACAGAAGGCUGGCAUUCAAUAAGUUUUAAAGUGCAGUGUGGCCUUGUUCUUCCCUCCUUCCCUCCUCCACCAUCCUGCCUGGUGCUUCCCUUCUCCCCCACCACUCCUGGGCUAUCUGGGCAGUUAUCCCCUA
This is an RNA transcript of Gopherus flavomarginatus (Mexican gopher tortoise), 2096 nucleotides long. RefSeq lists it as uncharacterized. Lineage: Eukaryota; Metazoa; Chordata; Testudines; Testudinidae. The transcript is spliced from 4 exons. The record is from RefSeq and is a predicted model, not a curated record.